AGUGAACGCUGGCGGCAUGCCUAACACAUGCAAGUCGAACGGCAGCACAGUAAGCUCUUGCUCUUACGGUUGGCGAGUGGCGGACGGGUGAGGAAUACAUCGGAAUCUACUUUUUCGUGGGUGAUAACGUAGGGAAACUUAUGCUAAUACCGCAUACGACCUACGGGUGAAAGCAGGGGAUCUUCGCACCUUGCGCGACUGAAUUAGCCGAUGCCGGAUUAGCUAGUUGGCGGGGUAAAGGCCCACCAAGGCAACGAUGCGUAGCUGAUCUGAGAGGAUGAUCAGCCACACUGGAACUGAGACACGGUCCAGACUCCUACGGGAGGCAGCAGUAGGGAAUAUUGGGCAAUGGGCGAAAGCCUGAUCCAGCAAUGCCGCGUGGGUGAAGAAGGCCUUCGGGUUGUAAAGCCCUGUUGUUGGGAAAGAAAAGAAGCAGAUUAAACCCUCGCUGUUCUGACGGUACCCAAAGAAUAAGCAACGGCUAACUACGUG
This 492-nucleotide ribosomal RNA is filed under the name uncultured bacterium. RNAcentral's name for it is "partial 16S ribosomal RNA". It matches the Rfam family "Bacterial small subunit ribosomal RNA", at positions 29 to 507 of the family's 1533-position model. The record is from RNAcentral.